This 1044-nucleotide long non-coding RNA is filed under the name Oryctolagus cuniculus (rabbit). Its description in RNAcentral is "lncRNA (ENSOCUG00000038482.1)". The record is from RNAcentral. Lineage: Eukaryota; Metazoa; Chordata; Mammalia; Lagomorpha; Leporidae.
ACUCUCAGUCCCGCCUCCCGUGCACCCCAGGGAGCCCGGCCAGGCCAGGUCCCAGCAGCCCCCAGGCCCAGCCCCGGGGGUUCUUGUCCAAGCUGCCAGCCACAGGGGCGGCGGCUGGGCCACGGCUGGGUGUCUGGGCUGGCCACCCACACUUUGCAGCCUGCGGUCACCACGGCCCGAGUGCGGCGGGAGAGGGGUCUCCCCUUCAGGGUGACAUCAUCCUCGGAGCUGGGAAGCCACAGCGUGCGGCGGCCGAGGGCCCAAGCGGCCACCCCAGCUCUCCCUCCCUGCCCUGCGUGGGCUGCAGGCGGCGCUGCCCCAGCCCUCUGCACCGACCCGGCACCGGCCCCAGUGCCGCCCGCAUACUGCGCCUCUCCACGGCGAAUAUUUUGGGACAUUCUGGAACAUUCUGGGCCACUUUACAAACCAUCUCUCACCAGACCUCGCUGGGAAGGCGGUGCUCUCAUCACCAUCACUUCCCACGUGGGGAAACCGAGGCACGGAGGGCCAGAGGGCACACGCAUGGGCGGGGGCAGCAGGUGCACACGGGACCCAGUACCAGCAUUUUCUGAGCAGAGAUGGCAGAGAGAGAGACACACACAGACAGACAGAGACAGACACAGAGACAGAGAGAGAGACAGAGAGACACAGAGACAGAGAGACACAGAGAGAGAGACAGACAGAGGCGGGGGGGCUUCCAUCCCCUGGUUCACUCCCCACAUGGCUGUGAAGGCCAGGGCUGGGCCAGGUCAAGGCCAGGAGCUUCUUCCGUGUCUCCCACAUGAGCGGCAGGGACUCAGGCGCUUGGGCCAUGUUCUGCUGCUUUCCCAGACACGUGUGCAGGGAGCUGGGUCGGGAGCGGAGCAGCCUGGACUAGAGCCGGUGCCCACAGGGGACGCGGCGCUGCACCACGGUGUGGUGGACUUAUGCAGAUGGGCCGGGGAGCGUUUGCACCUGCUCUGGGGGAGCGGCCCGAGGCAGGGGACGGGUGGGCACGCACAAGCGACUGACACCGUAGCUCUUGGUGAGGCCGGGAGUGGAUGA